This 447-nucleotide ribosomal RNA is filed under the name uncultured bacterium. RNAcentral's name for it is "partial 16S ribosomal RNA". It matches the Rfam family "Bacterial small subunit ribosomal RNA", at positions 29 to 523 of the family's 1533-position model. The record is from RNAcentral.
AACGAACGCUGGCGGCAGGCCUAACACAUGCAAGUCGAGCGCCCCGCAAGGGGAGCGGCGGACGGGUGAGUAACGCGUGGGAACAUACCCUUUGGUACGGAAUAGCCUCGGGAAACUGGGAGUAAUACCGUAUGUGGUCGAGAGACGAAAGAUUUAUCGCCAAAGGAUUGGCCCGCGUUGGAUUAGGUAGUUGGUGGGGUAAUGGCCUACCAAGCCGACGAUCCAUAGCUGGUUUGAGAGGAUGAUCAGCCACACUGGGACUGAGACACGGCCCAGACUCCUACGGGAGGCAGCAGUGGGGAAUCUUAGACAAUGGGGGAAACCCUGAUCUAGCCAUGCCGCGUGAUCGAUGAAGGCCUUAGGGUUGUAAAGAUCUUUCAGGUGGGAAGAUAAUGACUGUACCACCAGAAGAAGCCCCGGCUAACUCCGUGCCAGCCGCCGCGGUAA